AAUCAACGCUGGCGGCGUGCCUCAGACAUGCAAGUCGAACGAUUAAAGCUCUCUUCGGAGAGUGCAUAGAGUGGCGCACGGGUGAGUAACACGUAAGUAAUCUACCUUCGAGUGGGAGUAACGUCGGGAACCGACGCUAAUACCGCAUAAUGCAGCGGCAUCGCAAGAUGACAGUUGUUAAAGGAGCAAUUCGCUUGAAGAGGAGCUUGCGGCAGAUUAG
This 220-nucleotide ribosomal RNA is filed under the name uncultured bacterium. RNAcentral's name for it is "partial 16S ribosomal RNA". It matches the Rfam family "Bacterial small subunit ribosomal RNA", at positions 32 to 244 of the family's 1533-position model. The record is from RNAcentral.